UACGGAGGGGGCUAGCGUUGUUCGGAAUUACUGGGCGUAAAGGGCGCGUAGGCGGCCUGUUAAGUCGAACGUGAAAUCCCCGGGCUCAACCCGGGAACUGCGUCCGAUACUGGCAGGCUCGAAUCCGGGAGAGGGAUGCGGAAUUCCAGGUGUAGCGGUGAAAUGCGUAGAUAUCUGGAGGAACACCGGUGGCGAAGGCGGCAUCCUGGACCGGCAUUGACGCUGAGGCGCGAAAGCCAGGGGAGCAAACGGG
Molecule: ribosomal RNA, 253 nt
Filed under: uncultured bacterium
Lineage: Bacteria
Description: partial 16S ribosomal RNA
Rfam family: Bacterial small subunit ribosomal RNA
Source: RNAcentral